RNAcentral lists this ribosomal RNA (484 nucleotides) under uncultured bacterium. Its description in RNAcentral is "partial 16S ribosomal RNA". It matches the Rfam family "Bacterial small subunit ribosomal RNA", at positions 30 to 507 of the family's 1533-position model. The record is from RNAcentral.
AUUGAACGCUGGCGGCAGGCCUAACACAUGCCAGUCGAGCGGCUGAAGGGAUCUUGCUCCUUGAUUCAGCGUCGGACUGGUGAGUAAUUCCUAGGAAUCUGCCUUGUAUUGGGUGAUAACGUCCGGAAACGGGCGCUAAUACCGCAUACGUCCUGUGGGAGUAAGUGGGGGAUCUUCGGACCUCACGCUAUCUUAUGAGCCUAGGUCGGAUUAGCUAGUUGGUGGGGUAAAGGCCUACCAAGGCGACGAUACGUAACUGGUCUGAGAGGAUGAUCAGUCAAACUGGAAGUGAGACACGGUAAAGACUCCUACGGGAGGAAGCAGUGGGGAAUAUUGGACAAUGGGCGAAAGCCUGAUCCAGCCAUGCCGCGUGUGUGAAGAAGGUCUUCGGAUUGUAAAGCACUUUAAGUUGGGAGGAAGGGCAGUAAGUUAAUACCUUGCUGUUUUGACGUUACCAACAGAAUAAGCACCGGCUAACUUCGUG